Molecule: long non-coding RNA, 378 nt
Organism: Saccoglossus kowalevskii
Lineage: Eukaryota; Metazoa; Hemichordata; Enteropneusta; Harrimaniidae
Source: RefSeq, a predicted model, not a curated record
GCAAACAGAAGAAGGUGAUGGCGAUUCUAGCAGCGAUAACGACCAUUUAGAUACCCAAGAUAAUAGCGAAAGUAAUGGAAUAGAUCUACAAUCGAUGCCUUCGUUGCUGGAAUACUCAACUAGAGAUACUGGUCUCUUCUUUCCAUUGUGAGUAUAUGUAUGAGAAGAUCCAUGUAUGCAGUAGCUUUUGUAGUGUUUAAUUCCAGUCGCCGUUGUACGUUGCACAUUCGACGGUCGUCUCACACUAGGCGAUAGUCUUCUUGUAACACCGACGACCGUGACGAGUACCGGAGACCUGGACCUGCGUAUGAUUUAAUCGGAUUGGCCUAUUGUUGAAUAGAUUCUGUGAUAAUAGUAGAAUAGAUGAUACUAUCGUAU